GUAACCAAGCCCAGAGCCAGAACAGAAGCAGGAGUAACCUGAGGCAGCAGCCACAGAAGGGGACUACACCCCCACCCCUAGCCUGGCCUGGGCCUAUCACUGGAGCUUCAGGGAGUCCCAGGUUUUGGAGAGGCCUCAUCCCCGCCUUGUAUCUGACAACUCUGUUGAGGAGCACCUCUACUAAUGAGCAUUGAUCACCCAUGCAACUUUUCCAGCGCCGACUAUCGAUGCAUCCCCCGGUGUGGAGUCAGACCCAGGACUGAAUGCCCUGCAAAUGGGCACCAAGUCUUUGCUGACUGAUAGAAGAAGGCUCGUCUCUCCUUGGAGAAGCCAUCCAGUCUAUCUUUAAUGGGCCUCUCCCCUCCUCCUGGGUCCCCAGAUGUGGUCAGCCUGCAGGCCCCAGUGAUCAUCAUUCCAGUGUUGCUGUCCUCCUCCACACUGCUUGUGAUUGGCUGCAUAGUGUGGAAGACAUGCCGCAGGUGGAGGGCUACUGGCCAGUGCUCCCCAUCCCAGUGACAGGUUGCUGAAAGAAAAGACUUUGAGAUGUCUGCCAUCUUCUCUCUCAAAGCCCGAAGAGACUGAAUACACGGGAGUUAGAAGAAAGCUAGCCUCUCCAUUCUUCCCUCCCUCUCUGCUGCCCCUCAUGUGGGGGCAGGCCACUGAUCUCCACCAACGAAGAGACAGUUCCAUGCCAGGCGGAUUGGGACUCGGUGCCCGAGAUGAGAGCUCGGUGCUUCCUUGGGACCAUCUGCCUGCUUCAUGCUUAGCUUGGGCCUGUCUACCACCCAUCACUACAUCAGGGGAGCAGGAACCAUAGCAGCAGUACCUCCUUCUACUGGGACUAACAUCCCAAAUAUGAACCAGCAGGUAGGGACACAGUCCUGAAGAGUCAGCAGCUGCCACCAUCUUCAUUUUCUGCCUGGGGUGGGCAAGGCAAGAAGUGGUAAACAGCAGCCUAAAGGACUGUUUUCCAUUCAUUCAUUCAUUCAUUCGACAAAUAUUCACUGAACAAGAUGGUCCAUGGACAUAUAUAUACAUAUAUAUAUAUGUAUAUAUGUAUAUACACAUAGCAGGCUUUCAACAAAUAUUUGUUGAGUUAAUGAAGGAUGCUAAACCAGCUUCUGAGUCUUUUCUAUUACCAUCCAACACUCACAUACUUCUCCAUCCUCUCUGCAAUUUUCCCCGAGAGUGAUGAGGGUCUCAAGCCAAGGACACGUACCUUAUAGCCAAAAGGUGCUCUAUAAAUGAAUUCAUUUUCUCAGCAAAAAUGAAUUUAGUGCCAACCAUGUAGGAAAGGCCAUGUGGCAUAGCAUAAGGUACCCUGGUCUUGAAGUCUCGAUGUUUCCAAUCCCCAUUAAUCAUUUCUAUUCUGUGUUUCCUAGUUGGAAGAGUUGAGUAGUUCUGAUUCUACCCAGGCACAUGGAGGUCCUAUCCUUUCCUUGGUCGUCUCUUGUUUCCAACACAGCCCCUUUUGAUUACUCUUGCCAGCUAAUUAUUGGAUUCAGCAUUUUGUCAGGAAGGUGUCACUCGUGUGUUUUCAACCUGUUGUUGGUCUUUGCUUUCCUUUUAUAUACACCUUAUUUGUAAAUUUAAAUUGAUCAAUAAAUUUCUA
This is a long non-coding RNA of Vombatus ursinus (common wombat), 1612 nucleotides long. RefSeq lists it as uncharacterized. NCBI's taxonomy places the organism in Eukaryota, Metazoa, Chordata, Mammalia, Diprotodontia, Vombatidae. The record is from RefSeq and is a predicted model, not a curated record. The transcript has 5 exons.